GUGGGGAAUAUUGCACAAUGGAGGAAACUCUGAUGCAGCGACGCCGCGUGAGUGAAGAAGUAUUUCGGUAUGUAAAGCUCUAUCAGCAGGAAAGAAAAUGACGGUACCUGACUAAGAAGCCCCGGCUAACUACGUGCCAGCAGCCGCGGUAAUACGUAGGGGGCAAGCGUUAUCCGGAUUUACUGGGUGUAAAGGGAGCGUAGACGGUUAUGCAAGUCUGAAGUGAAAGCUCGGGGCUCAACCCCGGAACUGCUUUGGAAACUGUAAAACUGGAGUGCAGGAGAGGUAAGCGGAAUUCCUAGUGUAGCGGUGAAAUGCGUAGAUAUUAGGAGGAACACCAGAGGCGAAGGCGGCUUACUGGACUGUAACUGACGUUGAGGCUCGAAGGCGUGGGGAGCAAACAGG
Molecule: ribosomal RNA, 405 nt
Filed under: uncultured rumen bacterium
Lineage: Bacteria
Description: bacterial SSU rRNA
Rfam family: Bacterial small subunit ribosomal RNA
Source: RNAcentral